This 66-nucleotide transfer RNA is filed under the name Marmota monax (woodchuck). RNAcentral's name for it is "tRNA.Undet". The record is from RNAcentral. Lineage: Eukaryota; Metazoa; Chordata; Mammalia; Rodentia; Sciuridae.
GGUUGUGGCUCAGCGGUAGAGCACUCACCUAGCAAUGUGAGGCACUGGGUUCGAUCCUCGGCACCA